UCCCGCCUUUUUUUGGUCAACCUCAUCGCUGCGUCCUUUCUCCUUUCGCACGUGCGUUGCCUUGCUUCAAAUCCAGCUUGCUUGUGGAUCUCCUCUGGCGUAUUUUUUUUUUUCCGCUGCGAGAGGCAACAGGAGGGCCAUACGACUGCAACAUGUUUCGGCGCCUUUCCUCUGCUGCAGCGACACGGCCGAUGGCGACCAUGGAGCAUCCGUUGACCUCUGCGAUGCAGUCCCAGUCGGUGAUAAACACGCGCGCUGCAGUCUCACGUGUCGCGAUGCGCGCUUGCAGCAUCACCAGCGGCACCUCAUCAGGCGACGUCUCUGCUACAAAGGGUGCCGCCUUUAGCGCGAGUCGAUCCGGCCAGCGCGCGCCGUCGAUCAACUGCGUGACACUCGUUGGCGUGGUGCAUGACAUCCAAACCGGCUACGUCUUCGAAGACGCUGUCACCCAAUUCACGCUCACCACGACAAGCCUGGACGCGGCGAACCAAGCCCAAGAGUGCGUGGUGGAGAAGGACCAUCACACUGUGCGCUGCUAUGGCGAUGUCUUUUCCCGAGAGGUCCGCGCUAAACUGAGCGAGGGAAAUGUGGUUUGCGUGAAUGGCCGUCUGCGCUUGAAUCCGCAAAUGGAGCCGUCGUGCAACAAGUACUACUACUUCCCCUACAUCCAAGUUCAACCGCCGCACGGCCAGGUAAGCGUCGUGUACGGAGACCGUCGCUCCCCUCCGUCGCCGGUGAACGCGGCGACGGGUGAGCUGAACAAUGGCAACGACAAUCCCACAAGCAGCGCAGCACCGGCCGAGGACGGCGAUGCUAGCGCGACGACGCAGAAGACGCCGUAAGAGCGCCGGAUCGAGAAUGCGGUUCCGACUCGCCUCUGCUCCUCGGCGCGCCUCCUCCCCUCUUCUCCCGUUAUCGCACCACUUAAGGGCGAGGCAGAGAAGAGGGGGCAGGAUCGAGUGCAGGCGGAUCAUUUGCGGCGGGAACUCUUCUUUCGUUCCUUGAGGCGAGCAGGUGCUCAACCGACAGAGCGUCAGUGCGAGCGUACGCUGUUGCUGUGCAGGCGACGCUCUUGCCUGCUGAUGUGUUUCUCUUCCUUGAAAUGUUGACGUGCGCACUCUGAGUAAGCGCGAGGCUGCUGGAUUUGAUCCGCAGGCGUGGGGACUGGCGCAAUGGCUUUGAUUGCGGUGGCGUGCAAUAGAACUCUCUCUCGCACUUCCUGUGGUAUUGGACAUCUUUCGCUGCUCUCUCCCCCAAUGCACAUGCAGGAAAGCGAACACAGGCAUGCUGUGCGAUGACACCGACCUGGGUAGAUUCCUGACUCUUCCACUUACCCACCCAAUCCAUUUCGUGCGCAUCGGUAUUUACACUGCAAUAACUCUC
Molecule: unclassified non-coding RNA, 1383 nt
Filed under: Leishmania donovani
Lineage: Eukaryota; Euglenozoa; Kinetoplastea; Trypanosomatida; Trypanosomatidae
Description: gene:LdHU3.36.0950(CDS-product:MP18_RNA_editing_c omplex_protein_putative)
Source: RNAcentral